AUGGAUCACAGCAAGAACUGCGACCAUGGCCUGGCAGAGAUCGAAGCGCUGCUGCGUCGGGAGCAGGAGCUCGUGACGCAGCUCCGAGCGCUCAUCCUUCCACAACUCCACAACGUGGAUAGCGGGUCGGCCGAGCUCGCCGCCCAGCUCUUCGACGACGUGAUCGGCUGCAGCACCAGCGUCGUAUCUAAGCUCUUCACUGCUGGAAGUGGAGCGACCAUCGAGCUCAUCGACGACAAGUCCUUAGUGAGGAAGAAAAGUCCUAGUACUGCUGCUGUUGCUGCUGCUGCUGCUAUCGAUGACAAGAUGGACGAACAGGCGAAGCCUAGCUGCAUCGUUGGUCGAAAGAGAAGGAGGAACGACGGCAAGCGAUCAAGAUCACUCGUGACCAAUGUUCCGCAUUAUGAUGGUCACCAGUGGAGAAAAUAUGGGCAGAAGAACAUCAACGGAAGGCAACAUGCUAGGAGCUACUACAGAUGCACCUACACAGAACGGAACUGCUCAGCAACUAAGACAGUUCAGCAACAAGAUCAAGAUGGCGGCGGUUCUAUUUAUUCCGCAGACGCUGGUGAGGAUCAGGGUGCAAAGUACACUGUCGUGUACUACGGUGAUCACACAUGCAAGGCCGGCGACAACAUCAGUAACAACAUUAUCGAUCAUCUGCCCAAUCUUGUAGAUAUAGAUCUUCGGAGGGGUGAAACAGAGCGAGUAACGGCAGAAAUUUCAGAGUUCGACAUGGAAUUAGAUGUGCCGGCUCUGCUAGAGGUGUUCAACAAUUCUCAGCUGAAUUGGGAGAUCGUAUGCUAG
RNAcentral lists this ribosomal RNA (807 nucleotides) under Triticum aestivum (bread wheat). RNAcentral describes it as "partial small subunit ribosomal RNA". The record is from RNAcentral. Lineage: Eukaryota; Viridiplantae; Streptophyta; Magnoliopsida; Poales; Poaceae.